GCCGGGGUGGCGGAAUUGGUAGACGCGCACGACUCAAAAUCGUGUUCCGUAAGGGGUGAGGGUUCGAUUCCCUCCCUCGGCA
RNAcentral lists this transfer RNA (82 nucleotides) under Minisyncoccota bacterium. RNAcentral describes it as "tRNA-Leu". It matches the Rfam family "tRNA". Rfam says of the family: Transfer RNA (tRNA) molecules are approximately 80 nucleotides in length. Their secondary structure includes four short double-helical elements and three loops (D, anti-codon, and T loops). The record is from RNAcentral. Lineage: Bacteria; Bacillati; Minisyncoccota.